GAUGAACGCUGGCGGCGUGCCUAAUACAUGCAAGUCGAGCGAACGGACGAGAAGCUUGCUUCUCUGAUGUUAGCGGCGGACGGGUGAGUAACACGUGGAUAACCUACCUAUAAGACUGGGAUAACUUCGGGAAACCGGAGCUAAUACCGGAUAAUAUUUUGAAACACAUGGUUCAACAGUGAAAGACGGUCUUGCUGUCACUUAUAGAUGGAUCCGCGCUGCAUUAGCUAUUUGGUAAGGUAACGGCUUACCAAGGCAACGAUGCAUAGCCGACCUGAGAGGGUGAUCGGCCACACUGGAACUGAGACACGGUCCAGACUCCUACGGGAGGCAGCAGUAGGGAAUCUUCCGCAAUGGGCGAAAGCCUGACGGAGCAACGCCGCGUGAGUGAUGAAGGUCUUCGGAUCGUAAAACUCUGUUAUUAGGGAAGAACAUAUGUGUAAGUAACUGUGCACAUCUUGACGGUACCUAAUCAGAAAGCCACGGCUAACUACGUG
This 497-nucleotide ribosomal RNA is filed under the name uncultured bacterium. Its description in RNAcentral is "partial 16S ribosomal RNA". It matches the Rfam family "Bacterial small subunit ribosomal RNA", at positions 28 to 507 of the family's 1533-position model. The record is from RNAcentral.